AUCCUGCAGUUGCUGCCGCCACAGCUGUGAUUAGGGCAAGUCUCAGCUCCCUGGAGUGAGUGCUCCUGUGGGCCAUCAGGUGACGUGGGGACAGAUGCCACAGAGGAGUGCAGAGGAGGGACCAGGGAGCGCUGUGGGAUCCAGGCUCUCUGAGAAGGUGAUGCGUGAGCCGAGGCCCAGGGUUGGGGUGGGGUGGUGCCUGGGUGAGUGGAUCAGGUAGGGAGGCAGCGGGCUGGCGUGAGAAUGAGGCAGGAGGCCCAGCCGUGGGGAACUGGAGAUCCUGCCUGUUUGAGAUGGAAGCCACUGAACAGAUGAGGACUGCAGUUUGGAGUCAGAGGAGGAUGGUUUACUGCCUCUGAUUGGCACACAGCCGCCGGUGUGUGUGCGUUGUGUGUGUGCAAUGGUGAGGCCACUGUGCACCCGGGUGGCUGGCUUCUCAUGGGUUAAACACAAACUCACCACACCAGUCAGCACUCACGUCUUUACCCUGGAUCCUUUUCUAGAAAGGAUCUGAAAAGUAAACAUUUUAGACUUUGAGGGCCACAGUCCCUGUUCCUGUCCCUGUUCCUCUCUGUGGUUGUCCCGCCAGACACACACCAUGAAGUUACAAAGGCAGGCGGUGGAUGAAUGUGGCCUGGGGACUAUUUGCCAACCUAGCCCCAGAAAAUAAAACUUAUGUUUGUGUAAAUAUCUAUACACAGGUAUUUCUACCCAGGCGUAAUCACCAAGUGCUGGAAGCGACACAAGCGUCCUUCGAUGGUGAGUGGAUGGCAAGGGCCCCCAGGAGACCACAGGAAAGUCACGUAGAGAAGGCAUUAGGUGCUGUUGAAAUUGUGCUUGUGUGGUAGUUGAGGGG
RNAcentral lists this long non-coding RNA (856 nucleotides) under Piliocolobus tephrosceles (Ugandan red Colobus). RNAcentral's name for it is "lncRNA (ENSPTEG00000026347.1)". The record is from RNAcentral. Lineage: Eukaryota; Metazoa; Chordata; Mammalia; Primates; Cercopithecidae.